GACGAACGCUGGCGGCGUGCUUAACACAUGCAAGUCGAACGGCAAGGCCCUGCUUUUGUGGGGUGCUCGAGUGGCGAACGGGUGAGUAACACGUGAGUAACCUGCCCUUGACUUUGGGAUAACUUCAGGAAACUGGGGCUAAUACCGGAUAGGAGCUCCUGCUGCAGGGUGGGGGUUGGAAAGUUUCGGCGGUUGGGGCUGGACUCGCGGCUUAUCAGCUUGUUGGUGGGGGAGUGGCUUACCAAGGCUUUGGCGGGUAGCCGGCCUGAGAGGGUGGCCGGCCACAUUGGGCCUGAGGUACGGCCCAGACUCCUACGGGAGGCAGCGGUGGCGAAUAUUGUCCAAUCGGCGCACGCCUGAUGAAGCAACGCCGCGUGCGGGAUGACGGCCUUCGGGUUGUAAACCGCUUUCGCCUGUGACGAAGCGUGAGUGACGGUAAUGGGUAAAGAAGCACCGGCUAACUACGUG
This 468-nucleotide ribosomal RNA is filed under the name uncultured bacterium. RNAcentral's name for it is "partial 16S ribosomal RNA". It matches the Rfam family "Bacterial small subunit ribosomal RNA", at positions 28 to 507 of the family's 1533-position model. The record is from RNAcentral.